This 500-nucleotide ribosomal RNA is filed under the name uncultured bacterium. RNAcentral describes it as "partial 16S ribosomal RNA". It matches the Rfam family "Bacterial small subunit ribosomal RNA", at positions 30 to 523 of the family's 1533-position model. The record is from RNAcentral.
AUUGAACGCUGGCGGAAUGCUUUACACAUGCAAGUCGAACGGCAGCACGGACUUCGAUCUGGUGGCGUGUGGCGAACGGGUGAGUAAUGUAUCGGAACGUGCCCAGUCGUGGGGGAUAACGUAGUGAAAAUUACGCUAAUACCGCAUACGAUCUAUGGAUGAAAGCGGGGGAUCGCAAGACCUCGCGCGAUUGGAGAGGCCGAUAUCAGAUUAGGUAUUUGGUGGGGUAAAGGCCCACCAAGCCAACGAUCUGUAGCUGGUCUGCGAGGACGGCCGGCCAGACUGGAACUGCGACACGGUCCAGACUCCUACGGGAGGCAGCAGUGGGGAAUUUUGGACAAUGGGCGAAAGCCUGAUCCAGCCAUUCCGCGUGCAGGAUGAAGGCCCUCGGGUUGUAAACUGCUUUUGUACAGAACGAAAAGGUUUCUACUAAUACUAGGAGCUCAUGACGGUACUGUAAGAAUAAGCACCGGCUAACUACGUGCCAGCCGCCGCCGUAA